This 223-nucleotide long non-coding RNA is filed under the name Homo sapiens (human). RNAcentral's name for it is "HSALNT0088129". Lineage: Eukaryota; Metazoa; Chordata; Mammalia; Primates; Hominidae. The record is from RNAcentral.
AGGGCCAGUUCUUUGAAAGGCACAGUUUACAGUUUCUGCACUAGUUUGGGCUUUUGCAUACUGAGCUUAGGUACAGAUCAUGAUUUGUCAAUCACAUACUUAGUUGGCUACCAUGUAGUACGAAAGACUGGAUGCUUCAGUAGCUCUCUUGAUGGAGGUCUGUCCUGAGGUUGAAGUUCUAAACAACGAAGAGCCACAUCUCGUAAACCAGGAGACAAAUGUG